UACGAAGGGGGCUAGCGUUGCUCGGAAUCACUGGGCGUAAAGCGCACGUAGGCGGCUCUUUAAGUCAGGGGUGAAAUCCUGGAGCUCAACUCCAGAACUGCCCUUGAUACUGAGGAGCUUGAGUCCGGGAGAGGUGAGUGGGACUGCGAGUGUAGAGGUGAAAUUCGUAGAUAUUCGCAAGAACACCAGUGGCGAAGGCGGCUCACUGGCCCGGUACUGACGCUGAGGUGCGAAAGCGUGGGGAGCAAACAGG
This 253-nucleotide ribosomal RNA is filed under the name uncultured bacterium. Its description in RNAcentral is "partial 16S ribosomal RNA". It matches the Rfam family "Bacterial small subunit ribosomal RNA", at positions 524 to 776 of the family's 1533-position model. The record is from RNAcentral.